ACCAGUGUAGUAAGGUAACACUACAGCAUCUAGAUACAGACUUGCAUGCAAAAUCCCAGAAAUUGUAGAUGCUUCAAAGAAUGCAUAGUUGGUGUUCUUAUCAGCUGCAUUUUCAAAUGCCAGAGCAGAAACAUGAACCAAUUGGAGGAUUGCAGGACCAGCAAUAGAUAAAGGAAAUACAGUGUUAAUCCUUUGACCCUUUGCCAGUACCAAGAGGAUUACAGGAAGAGAAACUGGACCAGAAGGUAGUAAAUAUCUUUUUGAUUGAACUAAAUCAUGUCUCCCUCUUCUUGAUGUACUUACCACCAUGAUUAUGAUUGUUGCAAGAUAUGAAGCUGCUGUGAAGACAAAAACCAGGAUAUCGACAAGAACUGGAUAAUUCCCAGGAUAAACACUUUGGCAGAAGUAAUGAAAGGGGCAGCUGAU
This 426-nucleotide long non-coding RNA is filed under the name Carica papaya (papaya). Its description in RNAcentral is "long non-coding RNA (CPAP_LNC008449)". Lineage: Eukaryota; Viridiplantae; Streptophyta; Magnoliopsida; Brassicales; Caricaceae. The record is from RNAcentral.